GUUUGAUUCUGGCUCAGGAUGAACGCUGGCGGCAUGCCUAAUACAUGCAAGUCGAACGGAGUGAAGCCUUCGGGUUUCAUUCAGUGGCGAACGGGUGAGUAAUACGCAGGGAACCUGGCCAUGGCAGGGGGAUACACUCUGGAAACGGAGCAUAAGACCCCAUAGGCAGUAAGGCGGCAUCGCCUUACUGUUAAAGAAAGCUGAAAGGCUUUGGCGAUGGAUGGACCUGCGGUGCAUUGGCUUGUUGGUGAGGCAACGGCUUACCAAGGCGAUAAUGCAUAGCCGGCCUGAGAGGGCGGACGGCCACACUGGGACUGAGACACGGCCCAGACUCCUGCGGGAGGCAGCAGUAGGGAAUUUUCGUCAAUGGGCGCAAGCCUGAACGAGCAAUGCCGCGUGAGUGAGGAAGGUCUUCGGACUGUAAAGCUCUGUUGCCGGGGAAAAAGGGGAAAUGCAGGAAAUGGCAUUUCAUGGAUGGUACCCGGCCAGAAAGCCACGGCCAACUACGUGCCAGCAGCCGCGGUAAUACGUAGGUGGCGAGCGUUAUCCGGAAUGAUUGGGCGUAAAGGGUGCGCAGGCGGUCUGUUAAGUCUGAAGGCAAAGGGAUGAGCUCAACUCAUUUAUGAUUCAGAAACUGGCAGACUUGAGGACAGGAGAGGGCGGUGGAACUCCAUGUGUAGCGGUAAAAUGCGCAGAGAUAUGGAAGAACACCAGUGGCGAAGGCGGCCGCCUGGCCUGUGACUGACGCUGAGGCACGAAAGCGUGGGGAGCAAAUAGGAUUAGAUACCCUAGUAGUCCACGCCGUAAACGAUGAGGAGCAGGUGUUGGGAGUGAAAUCUCAGUGCCGAAGCCAACGCAGUGACUCCUCCGCCUGGGGAGUAUGCACGCAAGUGUGAAACUCAAAGGAAUUGACGGGGGCCCGCACAAGCGGUGGAGUAUGUGGUUUAAUUCGAAGCAACGCGAAGAACCUUACCAGGUUUUGACAUCGGAUGCGAAGGCGCAGAGAUGCGCUGGAGGCUAUCAUCCAGACAGGUGGUGCAUGGUUGUCGUCAGCUCGUGUCGUGAGAUGUUCAGUUAAGUCUGGCAACGAGCGCAACCCCCGUGGUAUGUUACUAACGCAUUUGGGCGAGGACUCAUAUCAGACUGCCGGUGACAAACCGGAGGAAGGCGGGGAUGACGUCAAAUCAUCAUGCCCCUUAUGACCUGGGCUACACACGUACUACAAUGGCGUCUACAGAGGGAAGCGACCCUGAGAAGGGAAGCGAAACCGGAAAAGGGCGUCCCAGUUCGGAUAGAAGUCUGCAACCCGACUUCAUGAAGAUGGAAUCGCUAGUAAUCGCGGAUCAGCAUGCCGCGGUGAAUACGUUCCCGGGCCUUGUACACACCGCCCGUCAAACCAUGGGAGCCGGCAACGCCCGAAGCCGGUGGCAUAACCUUUUAGGAGUGAGCCGUCGAAGGCGGGGCCGAUGACUGGGGUUAAGUCGUAAAAAGGUAUCC
RNAcentral lists this ribosomal RNA (1497 nucleotides) under uncultured bacterium. RNAcentral's name for it is "16S ribosomal RNA". It matches the Rfam family "Bacterial small subunit ribosomal RNA". The record is from RNAcentral.